UGCUCUCUGUUCUUUCACAUGCAUUCAAAUUAUGGCCUUGGAAUUGUUUGUUGUCAGUAUGAAGAACUUCCUUUGGAAUUCCAGUAAGGAUCUGCACAGGAACCCACGGGCCAGACAGCUUAAACGUUAAGCAGUUACACAGUCAUGAAGCCCUAUCAGCAACACUUUGAAGGAUGCAGUGUCAUCGCUCCCAGUUUACCAAUGAUGAACCAGUCUUAUGGGAAUUAUAUAACAUGCUCCAGGUCCCCAAGCCUCAUAUUUCUUCUCCAGUCACAUUCCUGGGAAGAUUGUUCCAGAGGGAGCUCACAUUUCUUCCUGAUUAAUGCACUGGUGCCAGGACCAUCCCGGAUGCCUCCUCCUUCACUCUUCAAUCAAAGUAUUUCUAUUUCUGACCAUCCUGACUUGCUUCAGAGGUGGGAAGGGCCCUCUUGGCCUAUCACACACAAAGAGUCUGCCCUUCGGUAAGUCAUUGAGCAUAUUUCUAACCUGUCCCCUAGCGGUAACCAAUUAAUGAACUUUUGCUGGCACACAGAAAUUGUUAUGAGACUGCAUCACAAUGAUGAGUGAAUUUUCAUUAGCAAUCCAAUUUGGAAAUGGAACUGCACAAUUCGUCCUUUAAAUAGAAUUCUCCAGAUAUUAAAUUUAGCCUCUUGAUUUCCAAACCAAAAAAAGAUUCUUGGUUUCAAAGAGAGUCCCCAGCGUCUAAGCAGUGUUUGAUGAAGCACAUUCUCGAACCACAACUGUUACUUGACAAAACCUUUGAAAUAGCAAUACCACUACUUUGCUAGCUCCUCCAUUGGCAUGACUCUUGGAAGCAACUCAGAGGCGCAAAGGCCACCUGGAGCUCCUCCUCUCUUGUAGGACACAGGGGAAGAGUUGCAUCCCCUCUGCCACUCUUCCUAUUUCCCGAGCUCGUGGGGCUUCACAGCCGUGAGCGUGAGACCGCACUAGUCGUUCUUGUUUUCGAAAUUGUGUUCAGUUCAAUUCUAAGCAAACACGAUCCUUCGAAUGGCUUAAAGGACACAUUCACUUUAGUUCAACUCCUAAAAUGAAUCUCCUUGUGAAACUAUGAAAUUCUGUGAUCUAUGAAAUCUGUGAAUUUUGCUAAACUUCGGUGAAGAUUUCACUCACAAAUAUUCUCUAAGCUAGCAGUAUCAAAAUUUCAAUGUUCAGGAAAAAAUAAGGAAGGGACUGCUUGUUAGAAAUAGAGAUUCCUGAGCCAAAGUGAGGCAGGGGAAUCUGCCUGUUUAUACAAUAAAUGCCGCAGUGGCUCUGAUGGACACCCAAGGGCCACACUUUGGGAAAUUCCCAAACUCGGCGCCGGGUCCUCAGUUUACCUGCACCGUUUGUUUUGUGUUAAGCACUGUGCAUGGCAAAGAGGCCCGGAGCCAGGGGGACCGGGUGUAAAUCUGACGCCAGCACGUAUUAUGCUAGUUUUAUGAACCUCAGGGGUUUUUUUUCCAAUUAAAUGAGGAUAAUCGUGCCUGAGUCACAGCGUUGCUGUGCGAGUGAACUGAAGCCAUGGGUGCUGCUCAGUGAGACGCAGAUCCAAGGGGCUGUGUAACGGUGAAGAAGGGAACAUCCUCACACUGUGGUGAAGGCAAGAGCAGGUACAAUGGGGAAAAUAAUAUCUACUUCUUAUUUAUCUUCUGGGAAUAAUGUAAAGGAUGUUUAGGACAUUGCUGGCUUUAGCAGGCCUUUCCAAUCUCAAUGAAUGAUGUCACCCUCUGUGCAUGGAGCCUGGCAGAAACUUGGGAGUUAUCCUACACUUCCCUGCCUGCCCUCGCCUUGUCUCCUGGCUAUUUAGCCUUCUAAACAUCUCAUCUUCACUGUUGCUGUUGUGGUCAUAGCCCUCUUUAACCCUUACCAAGACCAGACCUGUGCCCUUCUGAGCAGAAAUCUUCUGCUUGAACCUCCAGAAACACUCUCCACAUUUUCCUUCUGCUCAUGCCCAGGAGGCCAACCUGUAUCAUAUUUUGCCCUCUGGUUGCCAGUUGGGUUUGGCCAAUAGGAUCUGUCCUACUGGGAACUUGACUGAAACAUCUCCUAUCUGUCUUACUCUACCUUUAUCCUCUUCCAGUUGGGCCUUCAUGCUAUAGCCAGAGGAGUCUUUCACAACUGAAAUGUAUCUUGCCACCCCAUGACUCUAUAAUAACUUUGAGCAUCUGCCAGCUGAAGACCCAAACCCUUGAGAAGGAUUGAGACUCUGGCUCUCUCAUUUCCCAGCCUGUGUUUCUUUCAGCCCCCACCAUUCCUGUUCCUCAGGUGAAAUAAAUGUUUCAGUUUCUUAAAAGUUUCUCAACACAUAUCAUUGAAUGGGUACCUAGAGGCCAAGGGAGCACCAAUUUUAGGCUAAAUAAACUUUGAAGACUUAUCAUGAUUUUAAAAAAUGAAAUAAAGUAUAUCAGUUUAUAAUCAAGAAAAACAACUAUUGCACCUGAGCAGGAUACUAUUUACAUUAUUUAACAAAAUCAUAAAUAUCCAGUUUAACUAUGGAUAAUUUGAGUCAAAGGUCAAACCCCAAAUCAAUUGUUACUCUUUACCUUUGUUAAAUUGGAAGACAUUUCUAGAUAAUUGCAAAUGUCUGGUUCCGCCAGAAGUACUGACCUUUCAGUAAAAUACGGACCGGACGUUUGGAAAGAUUCUGUGCUAAGUCUGCUCUGACCCAGCCAGACUCAAAGACAAAAAGCAUUUCACCUUCACAGCUGGACACGGGAGUGCUUCGCUCCGGGAGAGAGCAGCAAGUGGGUUCUAAUCUACUCUGUGAUCAUAUUUCAUUUGGGGAAAUAUUUCUUCAUGUUCUCUUGCAAUGUUUUUAUACAUCAACUUAUUUCUCCCGUAAAUGAGGAAAAUUUCUGAUGUUUGGAAAAAAUUAAAAAUCUUGAUGAUUAAGCCAUGCAGACUUCUUAAGAAAUCCUUAGCCCUAAUUCUGAAAUUCUACAUGGUUCAGCCCUAAAGCAUUGGUUUCCAGCUACUCAAGAAACUGAAUAUGUAGCUAGAGCGACACCACUCAAGGAAAGCACUGGAAAUAAUAAGAUCACAUUUACUAGCAUUACGUACUAUGAAAAAAUGUUUUUCACUUUCAUCAUUUCAAAAAUCCAUGUGAGUACCUCAUCUUUGAGAGAACACUACUUUAGAGAACCAGACACGUGUCCCCACUGUCUGUAUCGUUCAGGGACAGUCAGAAAAGAGAAAUUCUGCUGGAUGUUGCAGUGCAAGGAUUUCUUUACAUGGAUGUGGCAGAGCUGGGAAGUCGAGCACUGCACAGUGAGGAAUCCCAAGACUGGCCACACAAGGAAACCAUUAUCACCACUGAACCAAGAGACACAAAGAUGUGGCAAUGCUACCAGAGCACAGACGCCAGAGUGCCUGGUAGGAGCCACAGCCACAGUGGGGCUGCCUCUUGCUGCAGGGGGAGACCAGUGAGAUGGAGAGGUUCUUGGGGUAUAGAGUCCCCACCAGAGGUCACACAGGAAACAGAGAGAAAGGAUGAGAAACACCCUAGCUUCUCCUUUCCUCCUGCCCUCCACUCUCCCACCAAUACCUUCCAUGGUCCAAACCAGCCCAGAAGCUGGUUGGCAAAGGAGCGUGGGAAAUGUAGUCCCCUAUAGUAAAGAACAGGGGACAAGUGAGGGUGGAGCAAACCAGGAGCUGGCAGGCUGCUCAUUUCUUCACAUGGUGCUCUGAAAAAACAUGUUUUCAUGGCUGGGUGACACAUAUGGGUAAUAUACAUAAUUUUCGCUAUUCUUUUAAACCAGAGUCAAAGUGAUUGUUACCAUUGACAACCAACAUUCUCUGUGAAUAAGUCAGCUUGCGGUUGCCCACUUCAAUAGAGACUGCUGUUUUCCGGGCCAUGCCCUUGCUUGUCGCUGAAGCAGCUGGAGCCCCCUCAGGACUGAUCCCAAGGUCCAGAAAUACUGGAAGGAAGGACUCUGGUUCAGGGGAGACGCUCUGGCCACCGGAAGCCUGACUCAUCCGGCUGCCUGUGAGGAGAAAGACCUGUGCAUCUCCUCAUAUUUUUGACAAACAAGAUGGGCUGGAAAGAGAACAAAGAGCCUGUGGGCUGGUGAUAAGGUGAACACUGUGGCAAGCUGCUCUAACCUGGGAAGGCCACACUUUCAUUCCUCACUCCUAGCAACGGAAGGAAGCUCUCACACGCCCUGAUGGGGCUGCUGUGAGGACCAUGGGAAUUGCCUUUUGAGAAAAGUUUCUAUCAAAUAGCUUCUCACAAUACUUCUCCGAUGAGGACAAAGUGUGGUACCAGCCUGGACCAGAUCGGGAAACAGAAGCAGGGGGCUGACAGCUGCAUUUACUCAGCACACUCAGGAGCCUGAAAGGGUAAUGUUUUUAAGUCUGUAAAAUUACGAAGGAAAAAUGAGGAACAUUAUUGUAACCAAUUUGUUUGAGUGCUCUUCUAGACAUUUUCCUAUGCAUUUACAUACAUUCACUUGGGGAAUUUUGGAGUUUAUUCAUUUG
Molecule: long non-coding RNA, 4476 nt
Organism: Equus caballus (horse)
Lineage: Eukaryota; Metazoa; Chordata; Mammalia; Perissodactyla; Equidae
Source: Ensembl